RNAcentral lists this ribosomal RNA (518 nucleotides) under uncultured Acidobacteriota bacterium. Its description in RNAcentral is "bacterial SSU rRNA". It matches the Rfam family "Bacterial small subunit ribosomal RNA", at positions 355 to 863 of the family's 1533-position model. The record is from RNAcentral. Lineage: Bacteria; Pseudomonadati; Acidobacteriota.
UGGGGAAUUGUUCGCAAUGGGCGCAAGCCUGACGACGCAACGCCGCGUGGAGGAUGAAGAUCUUCGGGUCGUAAACUCCUGUCGAGCGGGACGAACACUUUCCGGGUGAACAAUCCGGAAGGCUGACGGUACCGCUAAAGGAAGCCCCGGCUAACUCCGUGCCAGCAGCCGCGGUAAUACGGGGGGGGCAAGCGUUGUUCGGAAUUACUGGGCGUAAAGGGCUCGUAGGCGGCCAACUAAGUCGGACGUGAAAUCCCCAGGCUCAACCUGGGAACUGCGUCCGAUACUGGAUGGCUUGAAUCCGGGAGAGGGAUGCAGAAUUCCAGGUGUAGCGGUGAAAUGCGUAGAUAUCUGGAGGAAUACCGGUGGCGAAGGCGGCAUCCUGGACCGGCAUUGACGCUGAGGAGCGAAAGCCAGGGGAGCAAACGGGAUUAGAUACCCCGGUAGUCCUGGCCCUAAACGAUGAAUGCUUGGUGUAACGGGUAUCGAUCCCUGUUGUGCCGAAGCUAACGCAUUAA